Molecule: ribosomal RNA, 447 nt
Filed under: uncultured bacterium
Lineage: Bacteria
Description: partial 16S ribosomal RNA
Rfam family: Bacterial small subunit ribosomal RNA
Source: RNAcentral
CCUACGGUGGGCAGCCGUGGGGACUCUUGCGCAAUGGGCGGAAGCCUGACGCAGCGACGCCGCGUGCGGGACGAAGGCCUUCUGGUCGUAACCCGCUUUCAGCCGGGCCGAGGCCCUCACGGUGCCGGUACCUGCAGAAGAAGCCCCGGCUAACUACGUGCCAGCAGCCGCGGUACUACGUAGGGGGCGAGCGUUAUCCGGAUUCAUUGGACGUAAGGCGCGCGGAGGCGGCCUGUUAGGUCGGGGGUCAAAUACCGGGGCUCAACCCCGGUCCGCCCCCGAGACCGGAAGGCUUGAGUCUGGUAGGGGAAGGCGGAAUUCCCAGUGUAGCGGUGGAAUGCGCAGAUAUUGGGAAGAACACCGGCGGCGAAGGCGGCCUUCUGGGCCACGACUGACGCUGAGGCGCGAAAGCUAGGGGAGCGAACAGGAUGAGAUACCCGGGUAGUC